AACGAACGCUGGCGGCAUGCCUAACACAUGCCAGUCGAACGAGACCUUCGGGUCUAGUGGCGCACGGGUGCGUAACGCGUGGGAACCUGCCCUUAGGUUCGGAAUAACUCCCCGAAAGGGGUGCUAAUACCGGAUAAUGUCUUCGGACCAAAGAUGUAUCGUCUUUGGAUGGGCCCGCGUUGGAUUAGCUAGUUGGUAGGGUAAAAGCCUACAAAGGCGACGAUCGAUAGCUGGUCUGAGAGGGUGACCGGCCACAAUGGGACGGAGAAACGGCCCAGACUCCACCGGGAGGCAGUAGUGGGGAAUAUUGUAGAAUGGGCGGCAGCCUGAUGCAGCGACGCCGCGUGAGGGAUGACGGCCUUCGGGUUGUAAACCUAUUUCAGUAGGGAAGAAGCGAGAGGGAAGGUACCGGCAGAAGAAGCGCCGGCUAACUACGUG
This 438-nucleotide ribosomal RNA is filed under the name uncultured bacterium. RNAcentral's name for it is "partial 16S ribosomal RNA". It matches the Rfam family "Bacterial small subunit ribosomal RNA", at positions 29 to 507 of the family's 1533-position model. The record is from RNAcentral.